This 627-nucleotide long non-coding RNA is filed under the name Homo sapiens (human). Its description in RNAcentral is "HSALNT0362518". Lineage: Eukaryota; Metazoa; Chordata; Mammalia; Primates; Hominidae. The record is from RNAcentral.
GUCUCCAGGGCAGGGGCCCCCAUUCAGCCUGUUCCCAUUGCCAGUGUGAGAUGCCCAGAUGUGGGGCACCCAGGCCUGGGAUGCCCAGGCAUGGAGUAUCCAGGUGGAGAAACAUGGGGCUAAAUGAUGAUCUUGAAAAGGGCCCUCACUCGUGAGCCUUCGCCAUGUGCCAGUCACUAUGCUGAGCACCUUGCAGGUCUUGGGUGUUUAUUUAUAUAAAUAAACAGAGGAGAACCGUUUAUGAACCUAUGGCAAGAGGAUGGCGUGAAUAAGGGAUCAUGAUUAAUAGAAUUCAGAGACAAAGGGAGAGAAAACAAACAAAAAACACCUCUGGAACUUGUUGGAGCUCUUGGAAAAGAAAAGCUGUGAGUGGAUGUUCAAGAGGGUAACCUAGGGCCUCAUGCAUUGGGGCAUUCAGAAGUUUCGUACUGGAUCAAAAACAACGAAUGAAGCCUGCAGUGCAGAGAAAACAUUGUGAUAUGAGGGUCUUGCUGUGAUGACUGGAGCUGUGGCAGCCACCUUGUGACCAUGAGGGAAAAGCCAAGAGACUAGUUGAGAAGCCAACUGAGAGUUUUACCGCCAACUGAGAGUUUUACCUCCAUUGAGCUGCUGGAUUUGCCAACUCUA